RNAcentral lists this ribosomal RNA (1345 nucleotides) under uncultured bacterium. Its description in RNAcentral is "bacterial SSU rRNA". It matches the Rfam family "Bacterial small subunit ribosomal RNA", at positions 28 to 1381 of the family's 1533-position model. The record is from RNAcentral.
GAUGAACGCUUGCGGGAGGCCUAACACAUGCAAGCCGAGCGGUAGAGUCUCUUCGGAGACUUGAGAGCGGCGCACGGGUGCGGAACACGUGUGCAACCUGCCUUUAUCUGGGGGAUAGCCUUUCGAAAGAAAGAUUAAUACCCCAUAAUAUAUUGAUUGGCAUCGAUUGAUAUUGAAAACUCCGGUGGAUAAAGAUGGGCACGCGCAAGAUUAGAUAGUUGGUGAGGUAACGGCUCACCAAGUCGAUGAUCUUUAGGGGGCCUGAGAGGGUGAUCCCCCACACUGGUACUGAGACACGGACCAGACUCCUACGGGAGGCAGCAGUGAGGAAUAUUGGACAAUGGGUGAGAGCCUGAUCCAGCCAUCCCGCGUGAAGGAUUAAGGACCUAUGGUUUGUAAACUUCUUUUGUACAGGGAUAAACCUACUUACGUGUAAGUAGCUGAAGGUACUGUACGAAUAAGCACCGGCUAACUCCGUGCCAGCAGCCGCGGUAAUACGGAGGGUGCAAGCGUUAUCCGGAUUUAUUGGGUUUAAAGGGUCCGUAGGCGGAUUUAUAAGUCAGUGGUGAAAGCCUAUCGCUUAACGAUAGAACUGCCAUUGAUACUGUAAGUCUUGAGUGUAGUUGAGGUAGCUGGAAUAAGUAGUGUAGCGGUGAAAUGCAUAGAUAUUACUUAGAACACCAAUUGCGAAGGCAGGUUACCAAGUUACAACUGACGCUGAGGGACGAAAGCGUGGGGAGCGAACAGGAUUAGAUACCCUGGUAGUCCACGCCGUAAACGAUGCUAACUCGUUUUUGGAUUUUCGGAUUCAGAGACCAAGCGAAAGUGAUAAGUUAGCCACCUGGGGAGUACGAACGCAAGUUUGAAACUCAAAGGAAUUGACGGGGGCCCGCACAAGCGGUGGAUUAUGUGGUUUAAUUCGAUGAUACGCGAGGAACCUUACCAAGACUUAAAUGGGAACUGACAGAUUUAGAAAUAGAUCUUCCUUCGGGCAGUUUUCAAGGUGCUGCAUGGUUGUCGUCAGCUCGUGCCGUGAGGUGUUAGGUUAAGUCCUGCAACGAGCGCAACCCCUGUCACUAGUUGCCAUCAUUCAGUUGGGGACUCUAGUGAGACUGCCUACGCAAGUAGAGAGGAAGGUGGGGAUGACGUCAAAUCAUCACGGCCCUUACGUCUUGGGCCACACACGUAAUACAAUGGCCGGUACAGAGGGCAGCUACACAGCGAUGUGAUGCGAAUCUCGAAAGCCGGUCUCAGUUCGGAUUGGAGUCUGCAACUCGACUCUAUGAAGCUGGAAUCGCUAGUAAUCGCGCAUCAGCCAUGGCGCGGUGAAUACGUUCCCGGGCCU